GGAGAUGGCCUUAGUUGUGCCGCGACGGCCAUGACCCAGACCAGAGCGACACGGUUUGCGCUACUAGCGCGGACAGUGUUGUAGCCGGAGACGGGGAAACCCUAGCUAGCCCUCCGGGUAGGAUAUAAGAUAGGCUUGAGGGAAUCCAACAGACCCGGCGGCAAGAAUAGAACUAGGAGAUCUGCUAAAUCGACAAUAGAUGGCGGCGGCUCUUCGAUUUGCUGCGAGAAAGAUCUGCGGUCGCGCCCUUCAGCGACCACUGCAGCCGUAUCUUACGGCGGCCGCCGAAGCUGCCAUCAAAGAGGACAAGCGGCAGCUGUUGCGCCAUGGCGCGGCCUAUCUUCGCAGGUUCUCCAGCGAAUCGCAAAAUCUUUUCAAGAACAAGCUUGGAGCCAUGUCCGGGGCAAAUCCUGCGGCGGCUUCUCCACUACAAUAAUGCACAAGCCACAUCUCCUCCACCAAUAUGGUCGCCUAGGAACAAAAUGUUCUUACCCCUUGCUGCUGUGUACGUAACGGCCUUAUGUGCAGGAAUCUCUGGAAUACUUUACUAUUGUACCCAUGAAGAGCGGGGCCCCUUUUUCGAAACCCCGAAGAAGCGGAGUGAUUAACGUUCAGAUUUGUCCUAUGCUUCGGAGAAAGCAGAAUAAUUGGGUAUAUGAUUUAGUAGUAGUUAGCUUCAUCGCCUGUUUUUUACUCUGACUGUGUUGAACAAUGGUUACGAUGAUUUAGUAGUACUUGAGCUUCUUCUGUC
Long non-coding RNA from Triticum dicoccoides, 751 nucleotides. RefSeq lists it as uncharacterized. Lineage: Eukaryota; Viridiplantae; Streptophyta; Magnoliopsida; Poales; Poaceae. The transcript is spliced from 3 exons. The record is from RefSeq and is a predicted model, not a curated record.